GAUGAACGCUAGCGGCAGGCCUAAUACAUGCAAGUCGAACGAGAUUAAGAGGCUUGCUUCUUAUGAAAGUGGCGCACGGGUGCGUAACGCGUAUGCAACCUACCUUAAUCAGGGGGAUAGCCCGAAGAAAUUCGGAUUAAGACCGCAUAAAAACACAGGAUAGCAUUAUCCAAUGUUCAAAUAUUUAUAGGAUUACGAUGGGCAUGCGUGUCAUUAGCUAGUUGGCGGGGUAACGGCCCACCAAGGCGACGAUGACUAGGGGAUCUGAGAGGAUGACCCCCCACACUGGUACUGAGACACGGACCAGACUCCUACGGGAGGCAGCAGUAAGGAAUAUUGGUCAAUGGAGGGAACUCUGAACCAGCCAUGCCGCGUGCAGGAAGACAGCCCUCUGGGUCGUAAACUGCUUUUAGUCGGGAAUAAACCUUUCUACGUGUAGGAAGCUGAAUGUACCGAAGGAAUAAGGAUCGGCUAACUCCGUG
Molecule: ribosomal RNA, 482 nt
Filed under: uncultured bacterium
Lineage: Bacteria
Description: partial 16S ribosomal RNA
Rfam family: Bacterial small subunit ribosomal RNA
Source: RNAcentral